UGCAAGUCGAACGCGUUGGCCCAAUUGAUUGAUGGUGCUUGCACCUGAUUGAUUUUGGUCGCCAACGAGUGGCGGACGGGUGAGUAACACGUAGGUAACCUGCCCAGAAGCGGGGGACAACAUUUGGAAACAGAUGCUAAUACCGCAUAACAGCGUUGUUCGCAUGAACAACGCUUAAAAGAUGGCUUCUCGCUAUCACUUCUGGAUGGACCUGCGGUGCAUUAGCUUGUUGGUGGGGUAACGGCCUACCAAGGCGAUGAUGCAUAGCCGAGUUGAGAGACUGAUCGGCCACAAUGGGACUGAGACACGGCCCAUACUCCUACGGGAGGCAGCAGUAGGGAAUCUUCCACAAUGGGCGCAAGCCUGAUGGAGCAACACCGCGUGAGUGAAGAAGGGUUUCGGCUCGUAAAGCUCUGUUGUUAAAGAAGAACACGUAUGAGAGUAACUGUUCAUACGUUGACGGUAUUUAACCAGAAAGUCACGGCUAACUACGUGCCAGCAGCCGCGGUAAUACGUAGGUGGCAAGCGUUAUCCGGAUUUAUUGGGCGUAAAGAGAGUGCAGGCGGUUUUCUAAGUCUGAUGUGAAAGCCUUCGGCUUAACCGGAGAAGUGCAUCGGAAACUGGAUAACUUGAGUGCAGAAGAGGGUAGUGGAACUCCAUGUGUAGCGGUGGAAUGCGUAGAUAUAUGGAAGAACACCAGUGGCGAAGGCGGCUACCUGGUCUGCAACUGACGCUGAGACUCGAAAGCAUGGGUAGCGAACAGGAUUAGAUACCCUGGUAGUCCAUGCCGUAAACGAUGAGUGCUAGGUGUUGGAGGGUUUCCGCCCUUCAGUGCCGGAGCUAACGCAUUAAGCACUCCGCCUGGGGAGUACGACCGCAAGGUUGAAACUCAAAGGAAUUGACGGGGGCCCGCACAAGCGGUGGAGCAUGUGGUUUAAUUCGAAGCUACGCGAAGAACCUUACCAGGUCUUGACAUCUUGCGCCAACCCUAGAGAUAGGGCGUUUCCUUCGGGAACGCAAUGACAGGUGGUGCAUGGUCGUCGUCAGCUCGUGUCGUGAGAUGUUGGGUUAAGUCCCGCAACGAGCGCAACCCUUGUUACUAGUUGCCAGCAUUAAGUUGGGCACUCUAGUGAGACUGCCGGUGACAAACCGGAGGAAGGUGGGGACGACGUCAGAUCAUCAUGCCCCUUAUGACCUGGGCUACACACGUGCUACAAUGGACGGUACAACGAGUCGCGAACUCGCGAGGGCAAGCAAAUCUCUUAAAACCGUUCUCAGUUCGGACUGCAGGCUGCAACUCGCCUGCACGAAGUCGGAAUCGCUAGUAAUCGCGGAUCAGCAUGCCGCGGUGAAUACGUUCCCGGGCCUUGUACACACCGCCCGUCACACCAUGAGAGUUUGUAACACCCAAAGUCGGCUGGGGUAACCUUUUAGGAGCCAGCCGCCUAAGG
Molecule: ribosomal RNA, 1451 nt
Filed under: Limosilactobacillus fermentum
Lineage: Bacteria; Bacillati; Bacillota; Bacilli; Lactobacillales; Lactobacillaceae
Description: bacterial SSU rRNA
Rfam family: Bacterial small subunit ribosomal RNA
Source: RNAcentral